UUCGUCACACUAUCAUUAACUGAAUCCAUAGGUUAAUGAGGCGAACCGGGGGAACUGAAACAUCUAAGUACCCCGAGGAAAAGAAAUCAACCGAGAUUCCCCCAGUAGCGGCGAGCGAACGGGGAGCAGCCCAGAGCCUGAAUCAGUGUGUGUGUUAGUGGAAGCGUCUGGAAAGGCGCGCGAUACAGGGUGACAGCCCCGUACACAAAAAUGCACAUGCUGUGAGCUCGAUGAGUAGGGCGGGACACGUGGUAUCCUGUCUGAAUAUGGGGGGACCAUCCUCCAAGGCUAAAUACUCCUGACUGACCGAUAGUGAACCAGUACCGUGAGGGAAAGGCGAAAAGAACCCCGGCGAGGGGAGUGAAAAAGAACCUGAAACCGUGUACGUACAAGCAGUGGGAGCACAGAGCAAUCUGUGUGACUGCGUACCUUUUGUAUAAUGGGUCAGCGACUUAUAUUCUGUAGCAAGGUUAACCGAAUAGGGGAGCCGAAGGGAAACCGAGUCUUAACUGGGCGUUAAGUUGCAGGGUAUAGACCCGAAACCCGGUGAUCUAGCCAUGGGCAGGUUGAAGGUUGGGUAACACUAACUGGAGGACCGAACCGACUAAUGUUGAAAAAUUAGCGGAUGACUUGUGGCUGGGGGUGAAAGGCCAAUCAAACCGGGAGAUAGCUGGUUCUCCCCGAAAGCUAUUUAGGUAGCGCCUCGUGAAUUCAUCUCCGGGGGUAGAGCACUGUUUCGGCAAGGGGGUCAUCCCGACUUACCAACCCGAUGCAAACUGCGAAUACCGGAGAAUGUUAUCACGGGAGACACACGGCGGGUGCUAA
This 825-nucleotide ribosomal RNA is filed under the name Escherichia coli. RNAcentral's name for it is "partial 23S ribosomal RNA". It matches the Rfam family "Bacterial large subunit ribosomal RNA", at positions 139 to 1001 of the family's 2925-position model. Lineage: Bacteria; Pseudomonadati; Pseudomonadota; Gammaproteobacteria; Enterobacterales; Enterobacteriaceae. The record is from RNAcentral.